Molecule: ribosomal RNA, 402 nt
Filed under: uncultured bacterium
Lineage: Bacteria
Description: bacterial SSU rRNA
Rfam family: Bacterial small subunit ribosomal RNA
Source: RNAcentral
GACGAACGCUGGCGGCAUGCCUAAUACAUGCAAGUCGAGCGAACAGAUGAAGUGCUUGCACUUCUGACGUUAGCGGCGAACGGGUGAGUAACACGUAAGGAAUCUACCUAUAAGCGGGGGAUAACAUUCGGAAACGGGUGCUAAUACCGCAUAAUAUCUUCUUCCGCAUGGAAGAAGAUUGAAAGACGGCUCUGCUGUCACUUAUAGAUGACCUUGCGGUGCAUUAGUUAGUUGGUGGGGUAACGGCCUACCAAGACGAUGAUGCAUAGCCGACCUGAGAGGGUGAUCGGCCACAUUGGGACUGAGACACGGCCCAAACUCCUACGGGAGGCAGCAGUAGGGAAUCUUCCGCAAUGGGCGAAAGGCCUGACGGAGCAAUGCCGCGGUGAGGUGAAGAAGGCC